ACCAGUACCGUGAGGGAAAGGCGAAAAGAACCCCGGCGAGGGGAGUGAAAAAGAACCUGAAACCGUGUACGUACAAGCAGUGGGAGCACGCUUCGGCGUGUGACUGCGUACCUUUUGUAUAAUGGGUCAGCGACUUAUAUUCUGUAGCAAGGUUAACCGAAUAGGGGAGCCGAAGGGAAACCGAGUCUUAACUGGGCGUUAAGUUGCAGGGUAUAGACCCGAAACCCGGUGAUCUAGCCAUGGGCAGGUUGAAGGUUGGGUAACACUAACUGGAGGACCGAACCGACUAAUGUUGAAAAAUUAGCGGAUGACUUGUGGCUGGGGGUGAAAGGCCAAUCAAACCGGGAGAUAGCUGGUUCUCCCCGAAAGCUAUUUAGGUAGCGCCUCGUGAAUUCAUCUCCGGGGGUAGAGCACUGUUUCGGCAAGGGGGUCAUCCCGACUUACCAACCCGAUGCAAACUGCGAAUACCGGAGAAUGUUAUCACGGGAGACACACGGCGGGUGCUAACGUCCGUCGUGAAGAGGGAAACAACCCAGACCGCCAGCUAAGGUCCCAAAGUCAUGGUUAAGUGGGAAACGAUGUGGGAAGGCCCAGACAGCCAGGAUGUUGGCUUAGAAGCAGCCAUCAUUUAAAGAAAGCGUAAUAGCUCACUGGUCGAGUCGGCCUGCGCGGAAGAUGUAACGGGGCUAAACCAUGCACCGAAGCUGCGGCAGCGACACUAUGUGUUGUUGGGUAGGGGAGCGUUCUGUAAGCCUGUGAAGGUGUGCUGUGAGGCAUGUUGGAGGUAUCAGAAGUGCGAAUGCUGACAUAAGUAACGAUAAAGCGGGUGAAAAGCCCGCUCGCCGGAAGACCAAGGGUUCCUGUCCAACGUUAAUCGGGGCAGGGUGAGUCGACCCCUAAGGCGAGGCCGAAAGGCGUAGUCGAUGGGAAACAGGUUAAUAUUCCUGUACUUGGUGUUACUGCGAAGGGGGGACGGAGAAGGCUAUGUUGGCCGGGCGACGGUUGUCCCGGUUUAAGCGUGUAGGCUGGUUUUCCAGGCAAAUCCGGAAAAUCAAGGCUGAGGCGUGAUGACGAGGCACUACGGUGCUGAAGCAACAAAUGCCCUGCUUCCAGGAAAAGCCUCUAAGCAUCAGGUAACAUCAAAUCGUACCCCAAACCGACACAGGUGGUCAGGUAGAGAAUACCAAGGCGCUUGAGAGAACUCGGGUGAAGGAACUAGGCAAAAUGGUGCCGUAACUUCGGGAGAAGGCACGCUGAUAUGUAGGUGAAGCGACUUGCUCGUGGAGCUGAAAUCAGUCGAAGAUACCAGCUGGCUGCAACUGUUUAUUAAAAACACAGCACUGUGCAAACACGAAAGUGGACGUAUACGGUGUGACGCCUGCCCGGUGCCGGAA
RNAcentral lists this ribosomal RNA (1394 nucleotides) under Escherichia coli. RNAcentral's name for it is "partial 23S ribosomal RNA". It matches the Rfam family "Bacterial large subunit ribosomal RNA", at positions 494 to 1874 of the family's 2925-position model. Lineage: Bacteria; Pseudomonadati; Pseudomonadota; Gammaproteobacteria; Enterobacterales; Enterobacteriaceae. The record is from RNAcentral.